RNAcentral lists this long non-coding RNA (5536 nucleotides) under Salvia miltiorrhiza (redroot sage). RNAcentral's name for it is "long non-coding RNA (SMIL_LNC004928)". The record is from RNAcentral. Lineage: Eukaryota; Viridiplantae; Streptophyta; Magnoliopsida; Lamiales; Lamiaceae.
ACAAGCGACCACCGACAUUAAUUCCCUUUGGUUUGAGCGAUUUGGGGAAGUCUUUUUUGGGUGAGGAAGAUGAAGUUUGGUUUGGGUGAGGAAGGUCAAGUUUGGUUUUUGGUGACAGACGAACUUGUAUUGAGGAAAUUGGGGUGAAAAUUGGAUUGAAUGCUAUCCAGAUUUUGGUGUUCUUUCACAGGGAGCAGUUUCUGCAACAUGAUUUUUGGUUUUUGAUUUUUGGUCUAAUUUUGCAAUUUGAUAGAGGGGCGAGGGACGAUCGCCGGCGUUGCCAUCGCCGUCGCCGGUGCCAGCGGUCAGAAAAUGGCUCAGAUGCAGUGAGAAGAAGAGUGUGGACUGUAUUAAUUCUUUAAUUUUGGUGGACCACACUUAAUUAAAACAUAACAAUCAUUUUCUUAAUCUCCGUGCCGAAAAGAACGUGACUGCUUUUAACGGGACGGAGGGAGUAAUUAAGAACCCUUAUUAUUUAGCUAAUUGUUACUAUGAUUCGUGGGACGGAAGGAGUACAUUAUAUUUAAAAAAAAUACUACUCCCUCCGUCCCUAAAAUAACUUCCUCUUUUUCCAUUUUGGGACGUCCCCCAAAUAACUUCCUCUUUCUUUCUUUCCAUUUUUGGAAACCUACCCCACCACUAAUAAUACUUUAUUUAUUCUUACUUUUCACUUUUCACCACUCCCAAUACUAAUUAUAACACUUUUCACAACUUCCAAUAAUAAUUAUAUCAUUUUUUUCUCCAUUAUCAAUACACUUUACAACUUUUUAUUAAAACCCGUGCCGUCCCCAAAGAGGAAGCCAUUUCAGGGACGGAGGGAGUAUAUUUAAAAGUUUAUCAAUACACGAGUGUAAAUAGUAAUAAUUAUCUAAUUCCCUGAAAAAUAGUUAAAAAUAAAUUAUGAACUAUAUGGCCUAUGCCUCCGUCAAAUUCCAUUGAGCAGUGGUUGGACGACGGAAUGGGUGCCCCAAUGCGUUUUCCUUUAUUUGUUUUUGUUCUUGUUUCUUAUUUUAUUUUUCUUUUUUUGAGAAAGCGGCCGACGUCUGUUUAUGUUGAGAGAUUUGAUGGAUUCGUUUCGUCGCUUCACUAUUGAACAAUAAAAUUCCAAAUAGUUCUCAUUAUUUAAUGGUAAUGUAUUUUGUCCCUGAUCUCACUAUCUACACUCGAGAUUAAUAUCUUCUUUUAUUGCAAAUAUGAUUUUAAUAUUUGGUUUUUUCCAAUGCACAAUUUGCAUUGAUAAUUGUGACACCAAGUUGGCCACAGGGUUAACAAUGUCUUUUUAAGUGGUCCAUGACUCUCAUGUACAUGCCUUAGCGCACAAAUCACCAUCAAAUUUAUGUAAAUUAAUGGGCAUGAUUAAAGUAGGUUUAAGCUUUAAUUUAUUUAUUAAUCCAAUCAAGCACACGAAGUUUCCUAAACAUAUUAAGAAAAAAUAUAACAUAACAAAGCUCGAAUGAUUUAGUGCUUUAUCCAGCCACUUGCAAUAUAUAAUGAAAACUUAAAUAUUUAUAUGGUAAAUGUACAGUUGAUUGAAUUAUUACUUAGAUAUAAUGUCUCGGUGAUUUUUAUUUAUUUAUUUACUUAAUGAAGUAUUUAACUUGAUCCGAUCAAUUUGGGAAUAAAAUUAGGGGUAAUUGUCCAUAUAUUACAUUACCUUUUCUCAUUUUCUGGAAUUGCACGUCAUCUUUAAAAUUCGUCUCAUAAAACAUAAUCUUUCUUUUUCUUCUGGAACUGCACAUGGUCAGCCAACCACCAACCAGAAAAAUGACGUGGAUGCCGGAAACACCACAUAUAUACGCCGGAAAAAAAAUUAAUUGAUGUGGCAGCCAUAUAGAUUUAUUUUUUUGCUAUUAAAUUCGAAUUUCCAGAAUAUAGAAUUAAGGCAUUAAUUUCUAAAAUCCCCAAUUUUCCCCUAAAUCCCCUAGUUUUACAAUUUCUCCAUUCGCAACAAAUUGUCGAACGGACAGAUCUUUAUCGGCUUGCGUCGAACCCGAUGGUUGGCCUCCUGACAUCGCUGAUCGCAACCUUCCCUCACUAGAUCCCACGAAAACAGCAAUUUCCCAUCACCCCUGCAGUUCUAUCAUAAUCAACAACACGACAACAAUAAAUGCAUUUAAACUAGCCAAAAAAUGAUCAUAUCAACUAAGUUUUCAGCACAGUAGACCCUGGAUAAUCGCUGGAGCUAGGGCAAUGUGGAGCAGAUCGCUGGACGCUAGGCAAUUUGGAGCAGAUCGAAAUUCAAGUCGAACGCUAGGGCAAUUGUAAAAUGGGAAAUUGUAAAAUUAGGAAUUUAGGGGAAAAUUGGAGAUUUGGAAAAUUAAUACCUUAAUUCUAUAUUCUGGAAAUUCGAAUUUAAUAGCAAAAAAAAUUAUAAUUUCCUACAUGGCUGCCACAUCAAUUAUUUUUUUUUUUUUGGCGUGUAUAUGUGGCGUUUCGACAUCCACGUCAUUUUUCCGGUUGGUAUUGGUUGACCAUGUGCAAUUCCAGAAGAAAAAGAAAGGUUAUGUAUUAUGAGGCGGAUUUUAAAGGUGAUGUGCAAUUCCAGAAAAUGGGGAAAGGUAAUGUAUUUAGGGGCAAUUACCCCUUUUAUUUAUAUAUAUUCAUAACCUUCUUUCUCAUUAUUUGUCUUUCUUCAUAUCCGCCGCCCAAGACUCUCCCUUAAAUCUCACCGCCGAUUAAGGAUGAUGAGAAGAGCUGCUGUUUCUGCAAUUGAUCUCAUUCAUAGAAGAGGUUUUCUCAAUCGAUGGUCGCAUAAAUCGGGUAUUCUCUCCCUUCUCUUCCAAGACUUUUCAACCUAAGCGGUCCAGAAUUGAUUUCAGCUGUGUUAAAAAACUUGACGAUGCAAUUGAAUUGUUACAGAAAAUGAAGAGUAUGCGGCCGAAGCCUCCUGUUCUCGUGUAUAAUAAAGAUUGAGCAGUACUUUUUUGCCCUUUAUGUGUUUGCUGAAUUGCUUAGGAUGGUGUCCCGGUUAAUAAUUACACAAGGGAUAUUGCUGUUAACUGUUGUUGUCUCUUGAAUGAUGUAAACUCUGGUAUUGCUAUAAUGGGAUUCUUUAUUAAGAGUGGUUACGAACCAAAUGUUGUGACUAUCACCACUCUUAGUAAAGGGUUUUUCUUUGCCGAGAAAGAGGCCGAAUUUGUGAAAUUGUUGGAAAAGGUUUUAGAUUUAAAACUUUGCGAGUCAGAUGGUGUUGGGUGAAGCUAGGGGUGGGGCAGGGGGGUCACUGCGCCCCCUGGGUUUUUCAAAAAUAGUAGGGGUAUUUUCGUAAUUUUAUACUAAAAAUAAAAAAUAUAUAAUUUUAUCUACAUUAUUAUCAUAUUGAGCUAAUUUAUAUUGUAAUUGAUAAAUAUUUAGAGUUGAGACGUUUUGAAGAAGUGAACAAAUAAUUAAUUUAUACAUAUCAUGCUUGGAUUGGAUUCUAGAGAUUUUUUUUUUAAUUUGAUGUUGAAAGUUACUUUGCCUUUCAAAUUUAUAUGGGAUUUUGGCAAAUAAAAUCACAAACUAUUUUGAAUUUAUAAUUUUAACGUGACUUUUGAAUGUGGCGAAUUAAAUCACUAUUUUUUCAAUUUUUCUAAUUAGGUCCCCUAAUUUUUUUUCGAUCGUCAGAGUGUUGAAUUGCAGCUUACGUGAAUUAGUAAAGACGACAUCGUUUUUGUGAGGCCUAAACGAUGUCGUUUCGUACAAUUUAAAUUAAAAAUUUCUCCAAAUUAGAAGGAGAUUAUAUCUUGUAUUUGCACCAUAAUUUUCAAUACAUAGUAAUUUUAUUGCAAAAUACACCGUAACAUGAAUAUUACAUGGAGAAAUAAUUCACACAAACUUCAAGUUAACAAUUCGACGAUCGGAAAAAAUUGGGAGGACGAAAUUGUAAAAAUUAAAAAGAUGGGUAAUUUACUUCGCCACACUUCCAAAGUCACAUUAAAAUAAUAAUAAUAAUAAUAAUAAUAAUAAAAAAUAAAAAAUAAAAAUUGGACCCACCCCCCUAAAUCGAAAGUCUGGCUCCGCUAUGCACGUAAUAUCUGGGUUGUGCAAAGCUGGACAGGUCGCUGCAGCCCAUGUCGCUGCAGCCCAUGAUUGGUUUUGCAGAUUAGAAAGUAGUGGCUGGAAUCCCAACAUUAUGUCUUAUACCGCCUUAAUUGAUGGAUACUGCAAGGUGGGGAACCUCGAUGAAGCUUGGCUUCUUUUUGUUGAAGUUGCCGGUAAAGGUUUGAAGCAUGAUGUGCAUACUUAUAAUACCAUGAUACGUGUAUUAUUCAGAAAAGGUAGAUUUGCUGAAGGCUGGAAGCUUUUCAAGAAUAUGGAAGCUCAACAAAUACAUCCCGAUUUGUAUACUUAGGCCGUGUUUGAUAGGGGCCAUAAGCCCUAUAUUACUUAUUUAACUCACUUAAUAUUAUGUUUGAUGCAAUAUUUCAAUUACAAGAGAAGCCCGCAAUUGUGAGAAGGCCCGCAACAAAUAACAACAAAUCUACUGUUUCACUAAGAAAUUUAAUAUCUCCUCCCCCCUGGUAUUAUUUAUCUAGGUAUUAUUUAUCUAAGUUUUAUUUAUCACCCUUUAUCUCAUUUUUAUAUCAAACACACCCUUGAUGUGUUAAUUAAUCGGCAUACAAAUUCGAAAAAAAUACAAAAUAAAAUAACUGAAAAAGGGAGCAGCAUUUCACAUUUUCAGAGCAGGAAUAGAUUACCGGAAACGUGAGAUCUGAUGGAGACCGCGCCACAAGCACUAGUGCACUAACUCUCACGUUAAUUAACGCAGUGCACUCUCCACUUGUAAACCCUAAAUCCCAUUUCAAUUUAUUCAAUCUCUGUCUUCAUUUUGACGUUUCCUGCGUCUUUUCGUUUUGCUUGCUUACUUAACCAAACGAAAUCGAGUNUGGUUUCAUGGAAUUCAAUUCCAAAAUUAUCCCGUAAAGUCUUCGAAAAUCAGUGAAAAUUUGGGUGAAAUUCAAUCACGAAUUCUUUGAAAGUCGUCUGGAAUCUAUGUCAAUUUCAUGGAAUUUAAAUUUCAUGGACUUUUUAAAGUCUGUGGAAAUCCACAACGAAUACACCCCCCUUAGUUUUGAAGUAUUUACUAGCCACAUCUUUGAUGUGUUAAUUAAUCGGCAUACAAAUUCGAAAAAAAUACAAAAUAAAAUAACUGAAAAAGGGAGCAGCAUUUCACAUUUUCAGAGCAGGAAUAGAUUACCGGAAACGUGAGAUCUGAUGGAGACCGCGCCACAAGCACUAGUGCACUAACUCUCACGUUAAUUAACGCAGUGCACUCUCCACUUGUAAACCCUAAAUCCCAUUUCAAUUUAUUCAAUCUCUGUCUUCAUUUUGACGUUUCCUGCGUCUUUUCGUUUUGCUUGUUUACUUAACCAAACGAAAUCGAGUUGUUCUAGCACUACUCCUCGGUGGAAAGGUCGAUCUCUCAAUAACCAUAUUUUAGUAGUAGUUUCAAGAAAUAUUGGAGCAACAAUGGAAGAUGCCUACGCCAGAUCAGCCAGCGAGGUGAAGUAUUUGAUGCUUGAUCAUCUCAGCUAUUUGCAGUACUUGAUUUUGC